This is a non-coding RNA of Pelobates cultripes (western spadefoot toad), 1411 nucleotides long. The record is from the annotation of a GenBank genome assembly. NCBI's taxonomy places the organism in Eukaryota, Metazoa, Chordata, Amphibia, Anura, Pelobatidae.
GAGGAGCUACCCAUUGUUGUGCUGCCAUGGCCUAUGACCAGGAAAAGAUAAUUACGGUAAGUAUGAAUACAUUUUUCUCUUUCCUAUCUAAUAAAUAUUAUCCAUGCAUGCAGUUAUAGGACACACUUUUAUCACACACAUAUAUUUAGAAGUUUUGGUACCUAAUUACAAAUCUAUAUUUAAGAUUUUCAGAAUGAGUGAUAUGUCAUGUGUUUUUUGGUCAUUUAUGGCUAUAAACCUUGAAAGAAAGACCGUCAGUUCACCAUGCAUUUAGUUAUUUGCCACAUUGUCUGGAAUAAGGCUCAUAUGAAUAACCUUAUCUAUAUGUCCAACAACUAAUAUAAAUAUGUAUGUGCACGUGUCCGCAGAAUUUUAAUUAACAAUUCCAUUAAAAUCAUUCAUAAGACUAGAGCCACAUCUGGUGAGGAAACUGUGGCAAAAGUUAAUUAAUCAAUUAUAGAUUCUUCAUUAUCAUAUGUUACACCCACUAAAUCUGAUUAGAGAAUGUUAAAUCCAUAGGUGUGAGUUACCUGUGAAAAGGAAACAAAUAUAACACUAUAGAGAAUAGAGGAAAGGACACUCUUGAUUGACCACUAAAUCACUCACUAUUAAAUUAGCUCUAUCUUUUAAAUUCACUCUAUUGAAUUUAUUUCACCAUAUCUAUUAAACUUUAUUAUUCUUACUCACUAUUCUUCUGACAAACCUGAACCUACAGCAGGUUGUCUAACCAUUUUCCAUAUAACUAUUCUAUUCAAAACUAAAUUCCUUAUCCAUUGAGAAAACAGAAAACCAGCAACUUUGAGGUAAUUAUAACCUAUAUUAUUUUUAUAGCUUACAUAGGUAUGAAAUGUAUCUGAGUCAACAUUUGGAAUAAUUUGGGGGAGACUAUUCUUUGUAUAUUUAAAAUCUGUGUCUGCAGCUCAGGUUGAAAAUAUGCAAUGAUUCUUAGUUGUUAGUUCUUAGUUAUAAAACCUUUAAUUAUUGUUACAUUCAUUUGUUGAAUUCAGAUAUUAAUCAAAACCUAUUAUCUUGUAUAUAUACCUGUAGAUUUGCUUAGUGCAGAUAGAGAGGUUACUUAAAAUUGUCUAAAAGCAAAAUUUGUAUUACCAUGUUUUUAAUAUAUUUGCAUAUUGUCAGUUUGCAAUUCCAAACUGAGAAAAUGUAAUUGCUGAGUGGAUUAGGGAUUGUAAAAAUGUAAUUUGGUUUGCAACCAUUUGUGGAAAUAGUUUUUUUUUUUUUGUUUUUUUUUUUCAGCCAGUGUCUAUGCUUCUUUAAUACAGUAGAUAUUUUAAUGUGAUACCCUGUCAUAUUAUAGUCAAAAAUAUUAAAUGUCAAUGCAGAUGUUAUGUUGAGUUAUUGCAUUUGUUGGUAUUAAAUUCCUUGAGCCAGUUACUACAUUGCUCAUUAUCUG